Molecule: non-coding RNA, 189 nt
Filed under: Polyangiaceae bacterium
Lineage: Bacteria; Pseudomonadati; Myxococcota; Polyangiales; Polyangiaceae
Description: 6S / SsrS RNA
Rfam family: 6S / SsrS RNA
About the family: E. coli 6S RNA was the first non coding RNA to be sequenced, but its function was unknown until recently. It consists of 184 nucleotides that fold into an extended hairpin structure with a large single-stranded internal bulge.
Source: Rfam by way of RNAcentral
UCCGCUCUGCAGUAUUCGUGAGCCACGACAUAUGAAUCCCGAGUAAGCAUGAACCCGGGGGCAAGCACCUAGGCCGUGGUGAGCAGGCCCAGACUCUUUCACUGGGAAGCCUAAAGCGGCCCGCCAGCCCCCACCUAGCAAACUUGCUAGGGGUUCACGUCGAUCCGCCACGGUGCCCGCGGUCCCGGA